UACUUUCACCCAACACUUUUGGCGACAUGCAAUAAUUUAUGAACUUCCCUCCGUCGAGACUGCCGCUAACCCACUUUCAUGAUAGCAAUAACACCAAGAACUUACAUUUAUUUGCUUUUAUUUCUUGCAUACCAAAUAUCACAGAUGUAGCAUAGAUUAAUAUAACUUGUGCAACCCUGAUGAUUGCAAGUCGAUCUGUGCUUAACAUGUUCACACUAUAGUGAAAGCAAAUGGGCGAGUCCGUUGUGGUGCUGGCUCCUAUGGGUCCUUUCCUCUCCUCUGCUCUGCCACACAGUCCCAACACCUAUCUCUUCCUCUCAUAUGUCAACUAUAGGUAACAUAUGAAAGGAAAAAAUAGGUGUUGGGACUGGUGGCAGAGGAGAGAGUAGGAAAGGACCCGCGAGAGCCAACGCCAAAACAGACUCGCUAAUUUGGUUUCAUUAUAACUGGUCACUGGCGAAGAAUAUACUUGCGUAACUUUCGUCUUCGUCUUUUAGUUUAAUGUCCAUAUUUUCUCUCAUGGGGCUGGACGAGCUUUGGUCCAUAUUACUUAACCCAGUAGCAGCGACGGGCCAAAUUUGUGGCUUUACCGUGCAGCAGCGAUGGGCCAAAUUUGUGGCUUUACCGUGAAGCAGCGACGGGCCAAAUUUGUGGCUUUACCGUGAAGCAGCGAUGGGCCAAAUUUGUGGCUUUACCGUGAAGUAGCGAUGGGCCAAAUUUGUGGCUUUACCGUGAAGCAGCGAUGGGCCAAAUUUGUGGCUUUACCGUGAAGCAGCGAUGGGCCAAAUUUGUGGCUUUACCGUGAAGCAGCUACGGUCCAAAUUUGUUGCUUUACCGUGAAGUAGCGAUGGGCCAAAUUUGUGGCUUUACCGUGAAGCAGCGACGGGCCAAAUUUGUGGCUUUACCGUGAAGCAGCGACGGGCCAAAUUUGUGCCGUGAAAUAAACCCCCCAAAAUAGAUGAUACAUAAUCUGAUCACAAAUGCUUUGAUAUAUAUUAGGAAAUGGUUUGUGUGAGGGGUGAUUUUUUCUCAUUUUUCUCGCUUGGAGGGACCAUUAAGAAACAUGAUCUCCGCUGCUACUGGGUUAAUUAAAACGUAUCAGGCUUCAAUUACAGCUAUUUUCCAAGGCCGCAGAGAAGAUUAGCCGGGUUUUCAUGGGUGAUUUUCCUGUUCAAGGCACAGAAGUCGCGUAAAACUAUCACUGGCAUCACAAAAUAGUCCAUGAAAAUCCCGGCAACUUCUACAAGUGGCUUUUCAAAUUGACGUAUUAAGGACCGAUACGUUUAUGAAUGCGGACACAUGAAUUUCUCCGACUCUUGACAAACAUGUACUUUUAACCUCUGGCACACAUUAUUGCUGUACUUCAACUCCCUAGACACAUAUAAGACUUGGAUUUAUCUUAUUCUACUCCUAUUCACAUUAUAUCUUAUGGUAUUGAUAGGAAAGACUAACCAGACUCAUAAUACAAUCAACCUCCACAUAUCACAUAGUACCAUAGCAUCUUACUAUACUGAAUAUUCUGCCUCUAGGGCGUAUUACUAAACAUUUCGCAGCUCAAGAACACACAUUUGACAAGGCUUUCGUAGGCGUUUUGGGCAUUUCCAGUAGUAGUUUUAUGAUCCUAGUGGUAGUUUGACCCUUCUUCUGCACCAAGAACCUAAAGAAACACAUAUUUGACAAGGCUUUCGAAGGCAUUUUGGGCAUUUCCAGUAGUAGUUUUAUGACCCUGGUGGUAGUUUGACCCUUCUUCUGUACCAAGAACCUAAGGAAACACAUAUUUGACAAGGCUUUUAUAGGCGCUUUGGGCAUUUCCAGUAGUAGUUUUAUGACCCUGGUGGUAGUUUGACCUUUUUUCUGUCCCAAGAACCUAAAGAAACACAUAUUUGACAAGGCUUUUGUAGGCAUUUUGGGCAUUUCCAGUAGUUUUAUGACCCUGGUGGUAGUUUGACCCUUCCUCUGUACUGUGAACCUAAUGAAACACUCAUUACACCCCGACUGAUCCCCUCUUUUUCUGAGUUGAUGUGAGAAGCGAACAUAUCUUAUAAUACCGAUCUCUGUCCUACAUAACAGGGGUGUGUCUUAUGGAUUACUCUAUGCUUAUGAGAGAUGGAAGCUUCGUCGGAGGAUGGCAGCAAAAGGGAAAAAGGAAAAAGAGAAAUAAAAACUGUGAAUCUAGCUAAAUACAUCUUAACUAAGGAAGCCAUUGGAAAAAGGAAAAGAAAAAAACUGUGAAUCUAGCUAAAUACAUCUUAACUAAGGAAGCCAUUGGAAAAAGGAAAAGAAAAAAACUGUGAAUCUAGCUAAAUACAUCUUAACUAAGGAAGCCAUUGGAAAAUUAAUCUAAACAUCGAGUUAUUGAUAGAAAUUGACACUUGGUAGUGGUAGCAAAGGCAGCCUACUACUACUACUACUACUACUACUACAACUAUUACUACUACACUUACUUCUACUACAGGUAUAUUAGUGACAUUAUUACUUUUGAUAAUGUGGAUAUUGCAGGCUUUAUGGCGAUGAUGAUAUGGUAAUAAAGAUAAUGAUUACGAUGACGAUGAUGAUGAAAACAAUGAUGAUGAUAAUGGCAGGUAAGGUAAGGUUGGGGCAUAUGCUAUUAUUAUUAUUAUUACCAUUAUUACGUUUCAAUUCCUCGUCCUUUACAGUGGGGGGAAAAAAAAAAAAGUCAUUUGGGUUUUGUAAUUCCUCGCCACCUUUGUCAAUAGCUGGGUCACUCUUGCUAUUUCUCCUUUAUCAAUUUCCUUUCACUAAUUUCUAUCCCUCUCUGUCUUUAUUUUCAUUCACUGUUUCCUUUAUAACCCACAAAGUCAAUAUUCUCCACUACCAUUUUUUUUAUUCAUUGUUUAUUAUGAUUUUUUUUCUUUGUCAAUUUCCUUUCACUAAUUUCUAUCCCUCUGUCUUUAUUUUCAUUCACUGUUUCCUUUAUAACCCACAAAGUCAAUAUUCUAGACUACCAUUUUUUUAUUCAUUGUUUAUUAUGAUUUUUUUUCUUUGUCAAUUUCCUUUCACUAAUUUCUAUCCCUCUCUGUCUUUAUUUUCAAUCACUGUUUCCUUUAUAAUCCACAAAGUCAAUAUUCUAGACUACCAUUUUUUUUAUUCAUUGUUUAUUAUGAGUUUUUUCUCCUUUCUCAAUUUUCUUUCACUAAUUUCAACCCCUGUCUUUAUUUUCAUUCACUGUUUCCUUUAUAACCAACAACAAAGGCAAUGUUCUCCACUACCAUGAUUUCUAUUCCUCUCUCUCUUUCCUUCACUUUCUCUCUUCCUCCAUCUCAAAGGAAAUAAAUAAAUUCUCCUUUUUCUUUCCUUCAUUUUUCCUCUUCUCUGCUCUCGUUUUCUCUUCCUCGUUCUUUCUCUUUCCUUAACUUUUCCUCUUCUCUGCUCUCAUGAUUUCUCUUCCUCUUCCUUUCUCUUUCCUUCAGUCUUCCUCUUCUCUGCUCUCAUUUUCUCUUCCUCUUCCUUUCUCUUUCCUUCAGUGUUCCUCUUCUCUGCUCUCGUUUUCUCUUCCUCUUUCCUUCAGUCUUCCUCUUCUCUGCUCUCGUUUUCUAUCCCUCUUUCUUUCUCUACUGCCCUACCAUUAAACAUAUACAUCUACGGUACUCAGAGAAAUUGUAUUCAGUACCAGACCUGUUACAUUACACAAGUUGCUUCUUUCACUUACAACUACAAGCUACCACUACAAAAAAAUAUAUAUAUAUCGGUACAUUGUAAAAUCUAAAUACCACCACUUCACAACACUACACCACACCAGGUAACACCCCUACAUACUCAGGGGGGGGCAGGUGUAGUGGGCUAAGGCUGUCCCAGACUGUAUUCUCAAACGUAUUGGCGUCUCGGUUCACAUUUGCAAUGCCCCCUCGUGGAAGUUCGGAUUUUCAUGGAGUGUUCUGUGAAGGUGGUCAUAGUUUUACAUUGGAUUUUCUCAUUUCAAUUCCCUGUUCGUUUAUCUUUUCUUUGUUCAUUCUUUGUAACCUUGAUCUUUGUUUUUGUUCUCUCGUUUUUCAUGGGUUCUGCAUAUUGAAUGUGGAAAAGGCGCCCAUGAAAAUCCGGUUCCCCUUCUCUGUGGUCUUGGGAAAUGGUAAUGAAAGCUCAGUGCCAAUAUGGGCCUGGAUUUUAUGGACUGUUUUGUGAAGGUGAUAAUUUUCUGCAUCUUGACUGGGAAAAAGGCAGCCAUGAAGACCCAGUUACCCUUCUCUGUGGCCUUGGGAAAUGGUAAUGAAGGCCCAGUGCCACUAUGGACCCUGAGCCACUAAAACCAUGUGCUCUAAUGACACCCUGCACCAUCACCAGCACCCAGUUAACCUUCUCUGUGGCCUUGGGAGAUAGGGCCAUAUUUGUAAACACCUUGACACCCAGGCACAUGUAUUUGACAGGGCUUUCAUGGGCGUUCCAGGCAUUUCCAGGGGUAGUUCAAUGACCCUGGUGGUAGUUUGACCCUUCGCCUGCACCAUGAACUUAAAGAAACACUCAUUUGACAAGGCUUUCAUAGGGGUGUGGGACAUUUCCAGGGGUAGUUUAAUGACCCUUCGUCUGCACCAUGAACCUAAAGAAACACUCGUCUGACAAGGCUUUCAUAGGGGUGUGGGACAUUUCCAGGGGUAGUUUAAUGACCCUGGUGGUAGUUUGACCCUUCUUCUGAACCAUGAACCUAAAGAAACACUCAUUUGAUAAGGCUUUCAUAGGGGUGCGAGGCAUUUCCAGGGGUAGUUUAAUGACCCUGGUGGUAGUUUGACCCUUCUUCUGAACCAUGAACCUAAAGAAACAAUCAAUUGACAAGGCUUUCCUUAAGG
Long non-coding RNA from Eriocheir sinensis (Chinese mitten crab), 4799 nucleotides. RefSeq lists it as uncharacterized. The transcript has 3 exons. The record is from RefSeq and is a predicted model, not a curated record. Lineage: Eukaryota; Metazoa; Arthropoda; Malacostraca; Decapoda; Varunidae.